This 424-nucleotide ribosomal RNA is filed under the name uncultured bacterium. RNAcentral describes it as "bacterial SSU rRNA". It matches the Rfam family "Bacterial small subunit ribosomal RNA", at positions 355 to 776 of the family's 1533-position model. The record is from RNAcentral.
UGAGGAAUAUUGGUCAAUGGGCGUAAGCCUGAACCAGCCAAGUCGCGUGAGGGAUGAAGGUUCUAUGGAUCGUAAACCUCUUUUAUGAGGGAAUAAAGUGCGGGACGUGUCCCGUUUUGUAUGUACCUUAUGAAUAAGGAUCGGCUAACUCCGUGCCAGCAGCCGCGGUAAUACGGAGGAUCCGAGCGUUCUCCGGAUUUAUUGGGUUUAAAGGGUGCGUAGGCGGCCUUUUAAGUCAGCGGUGAAAGUCUGUGGCUCAACCAUAGAAUUGCCGUUGAAACUGGGAGGCUUGAGUAUGUUUGAGGCAGGCGGAAUGCGUGGUGUAGCGGUGAAAUGCUUAGAUAUCACGCAGAACCCCGAUUGCGAAGGCAGCCUGCCAAGCCAUGACUGACGCUGAUGCACGAAAGCGUGGGGAUCAAACAGG